Molecule: ribosomal RNA, 508 nt
Filed under: uncultured bacterium
Lineage: Bacteria
Description: partial 16S ribosomal RNA
Rfam family: Bacterial small subunit ribosomal RNA
Source: RNAcentral
AUUGAACGCUGGCGGCAUGCCUUACACAUGCAAGUCGAACGGCAGCGGGGGAGAAGCUUGCUUUUCCUGCCGGCGAGUGGCGAACGGGUGAGUAAUACAUCGGAACGUGCCCUGUAGUGGGGGAUAACUAGUCGAAAGAUUAGCUAAUACCGCAUACGACCUGAGGGUGAAAGUGGGGGACCGCAAGGCCUCAUGCUAUAGGAGCGGCCGAUGUCUGAUUGGCUAGUUGGUGGGGUAAAGGCCUACCAAGGCGACGAUCAGUAGCUGGUCUGAGGGGACGAUCAGCCACACUGGGACUGAGACACGGCCCAGACUCCUACGGGAGGCAGCAGUGGGGAAUUUUGGACAAUGGGCGAAAGCCUGAUCCAGCAAUGCCGCGUGUGUGAAGAAGGCCUUCGGGUUGUAAAGCACUUUUGUCCGGAAAGAAAUGGCUCUGGUUAAUACCUGGGGUCGAUGACGGUACCGGAAGAAUAAGGACCGGCUAACUACGUGCCAGCCGCCGCCGCAG